UACGGAGGGGGUUAGCGUUGUUCGGAAUGACUGGGCGUAAAGCGCGCGUAGGCGGGCAUUUAAGUCGGGGGUGAAAUCCCGGGGCUCAACCCCGGAAUGGCCUUCGAUACUGGGUGCCUAGAGUUCGAGAGAGGUGAGUGGAAUUCCGAGUGUAGAGGUGAAAAUUCGUAGAUAUUCGGAGGAACACCAGUGGCGAAGGCGGCUCACUGGCUCGACACUGACGCUGAGGUGCGAAAGCGUGGGGAGCAAACAGG
This 254-nucleotide ribosomal RNA is filed under the name uncultured bacterium. Its description in RNAcentral is "partial 16S ribosomal RNA". It matches the Rfam family "Bacterial small subunit ribosomal RNA", at positions 524 to 776 of the family's 1533-position model. The record is from RNAcentral.